This 513-nucleotide ribosomal RNA is filed under the name uncultured bacterium. RNAcentral's name for it is "bacterial SSU rRNA". It matches the Rfam family "Bacterial small subunit ribosomal RNA", at positions 48 to 552 of the family's 1533-position model. The record is from RNAcentral.
UUUACACAUGCAAGCCGAACGGAAACGAAAAUAGCUUGCUAUUUGGCGUCGAGUGGCGAACGGGUGAGUAACGCGUAGGAAUCUACCCAGUAGAGGGGGAUAGCCCGAAGAAAUUCGGAUUAAUACCGCAUAAUCUCUACGGAGUAAAGAAGGCCUCUUUACAAUGCUUUUACUAUUGGAUGAGCCUGCGUUAGAUUAGUUAGUUGGUAGGGUAAAAGCCUACCAAGGCGACGAUCUAUAGCUGGUUUUACGAGAAUGAUCAGCCACACUGGAACUGAGACACGGUCCAGACUCCUACGGGAGGCAGCAGUGAAGAAUAUUGGACAAUGGGGGAAACCCUGAUCCAGCAAUGUUGCGUGUGUGAAGAAAGUCCGAGGAUUGUAAAGCACUUUCAGUAAGCAAGAAAAAUGUAAAUCUAAUAGAUUUGCAUGUUGACCACUUAUAGAAGAAGCACCGGCUAACUCCGUGCCAGCAGCCGCGGUAAUACGGAGGGUGCGAGCGUAAAUCGGAAUU